RNAcentral lists this transfer RNA (73 nucleotides) under Stegodyphus mimosarum. It matches the Rfam family "tRNA". Rfam says of the family: Transfer RNA (tRNA) molecules are approximately 80 nucleotides in length. Their secondary structure includes four short double-helical elements and three loops (D, anti-codon, and T loops). Further hydrogen bonds mediate the characteristic L-shaped molecular structure. tRNAs have two regions of fundamental functional importance: the anti-codon, which is responsible for specific mRNA codon recognition, and the 3' end, to which the tRNAs corresponding amino acid is attached (by aminoacyl-tRNA synthetases). tRNAs cope with the degeneracy of the genetic code in two manners: having more than one tRNA (with a specific anti-codon) for a particular amino acid; and 'wobble' base-pairing, i.e. permitting non-standard base-pairing at the 3rd anti-codon position. Lineage: Eukaryota; Metazoa; Arthropoda; Arachnida; Araneae; Eresidae. The record is from Rfam by way of RNAcentral.
GCCUUCAUAGUGUAGUGGUCAGCACGCUUGACAGGCAUUUGAGAUGUCCGUGGUUCGAGUCCCGGCGAGGACA